ACGUAGGGUGCGAGCGUUAAUCGGAAUUACUGGGCGUAAAGCGUGCGCAGGCGGUCUUGCAAGACAGUGGUGAAAUCCCCGGGCUCAACCUGGGAACUGCCAUUGAGACUGCAAGGCUGGAGUACGGCAGAGGGGGAUGGAAUUCCGCGUGUAGCAGUGAAAUGCGUAGAUAUGCGGAGGAACACCGAUGGCGAAGGCGACACCCUGGGCCGUACCUGACGCUAAGACGCGACAGCACGGGGAGCGAACGG
This 251-nucleotide ribosomal RNA is filed under the name uncultured prokaryote. RNAcentral's name for it is "partial 16S ribosomal RNA". It matches the Rfam family "Bacterial small subunit ribosomal RNA", at positions 525 to 775 of the family's 1533-position model. The record is from RNAcentral.